CCUACGGGAGGCAGCAGUGGGGAAUAUUGCACAAUGGGGGAAACCCUGAUGCAGCGACGCCGCGUGAGUGAAGAAGUAUCUCGGUACGUAAAGCUCUAUCAGCAGGGAAGAAAAUGACGGUACCUGACUAAGAAGCCCCGGCUAACUACGUGCCAGCAGCCGCGGGAAUACGUAGGGGGCAAGCGUUAUCCGGAUUUACUGGGUGUAAAGGGAGCGUAGACGGCAGCGCAAGUCUGGAGUGAAAUGCCGGGGCUCAACCCCGGAACUGCUUUGGAAACUGUGCAGCUCGAGUGCAGGAGAGGUAAGCGGAAUUCCUAGUGUAGCGGUGAAAUGCGUAGAUAUUAGGAGGAACACCAGUGGCGAAGGCGGCUUACUGGACUGUAACUGACGUUGAGGCUCGAAAGCGUGGGGAGCAAACAGGAUUAGAUACCCGAGUAGUC
This 440-nucleotide ribosomal RNA is filed under the name uncultured bacterium. Its description in RNAcentral is "partial 16S ribosomal RNA". It matches the Rfam family "Bacterial small subunit ribosomal RNA", at positions 338 to 795 of the family's 1533-position model. The record is from RNAcentral.